GGGAGACACAGAGGAAGAAACGUGGAGCCAGGAGCUGAGGAUUGACAGUCUAAGUAAAAUGAUGCUGCAGGCUGCCUUCAUGUGAUAACCUGGAGUUCACAAAGAAAAUCCUCUCAGGUCAACUGAGGAUGCUCCCAUCUGUAUUCAGGCUGCCAGCUCGCUGUAACUUUCAUCUCGGCUAGAGCCAAGUCAUGAUCAACGUAUCAUCGCCAUUGCUCUCUGUGGAGUGUCCAAUGCAAAUAGUUGGACUGAGGAUGUUCUCUUAUGAUGGGGCCA
Long non-coding RNA from Epinephelus moara (kelp grouper), 276 nucleotides. RefSeq lists it as uncharacterized. The transcript has 3 exons. The record is from RefSeq and is a predicted model, not a curated record. Lineage: Eukaryota; Metazoa; Chordata; Actinopteri; Perciformes; Serranidae.